This 465-nucleotide ribosomal RNA is filed under the name uncultured bacterium. Its description in RNAcentral is "partial 16S ribosomal RNA". It matches the Rfam family "Bacterial small subunit ribosomal RNA", at positions 338 to 795 of the family's 1533-position model. The record is from RNAcentral.
CCUACGGGCGGCUGCAGUGGGGAAUAUUGCGCAAUGGGCGAAAGCCUGACGCAGCGACGCCGCGUGAGGGAUGAAGGUCUUCGGAUCGUAAACCUCUGUCAGCAGGGACGAACGGUCACUGUGCUAAUCAGCAGUGCAUUGACGGUACCUGCAAAGGAAGCACCGGCUAACUCCGGGCCAGCAGCGGCGGGAAGACGGAGGGUGCGAGCGUUAAUCGGAAUUAUUGGGCGUAAAGCGUUCGUAGGCGGUAUGUCAAGUCAAGGGUGAAAUCCCCGCGCUCAACGUGGGAACUGCCUUUGAAACUGGCAAACUGGAGUGUGUGAGAGGAUAGUGGAAUUCCUGGUGUAGGGGUGAAAUGCGUAGAUAUCAGGAGGAACAUCAGUGGCGAAGGCGACUAACUGGGACAUAACUGACGCUGAGGAGCGAAAGCGUGGGUAGCAAACAGGAUUAGAUACCCGAGUAGUC